UUGUGCCUUCGGGAACUGUGAGACAGGUGCUGCAUGGCUGUCGUCAGCUCGUGUUGUGAAAUGUUGGGUUAAGUCCCGCAACGAGCGCAACCCUUAUCCUUUGUUGCCAGCGGUCCGGCCGGGAACUCAAAGGAGACUGCCAGUGAUAAACUGGAGGAAGGUGGGGAUGACGUCAAGUCAUCAUGGCCCUUACGACCAGGGCUACACACGUGCUACAAUGGCGCAUACAAAGAGAAGCGACCUCGCGAGAGCAAGCGGACCUCAUAAAGUGCGUCGUAGUCCGGAUUGGAGUCUGCAACUCGACUCCAUGAAGUCGGAAUCGCUAGUAAUCGUGGAUCAGAAUGCCACGGUGAAUACGUUCCCGGGCCUUGUACACACCGCCCGUCACACCAUGGGAGUGGGUUGCAAAAGAAGUAGGUAGCUUAACCUUCGGGAGGGCGCUUACCACUUUGUGAUUCAUGACUGGGGUGAAGUCGUAACAAGGUAACCGUAGGGGAACCUGC
RNAcentral lists this ribosomal RNA (503 nucleotides) under Salmonella enterica subsp. enterica serovar Infantis. RNAcentral describes it as "bacterial SSU rRNA". It matches the Rfam family "Bacterial small subunit ribosomal RNA", at positions 1012 to 1515 of the family's 1533-position model. RNAcentral also lists the same sequence under 1 other name. The record is from RNAcentral. Lineage: Bacteria; Pseudomonadati; Pseudomonadota; Gammaproteobacteria; Enterobacterales; Enterobacteriaceae.